AUGCAGUCGUACGGGAGUUUUUAACUCCAGUGGCGGACGGGUGAGUAACACGUGAGAAUUUGCCUUUAGGAGGGGGAUAACAACUGGAAACGGUUGCUAAUACCCCAUAUGCUUUCGAGUGAAAUAGAUUUAUCUGCCUAGAGAGAAGCUCGCGCCUGAUUAGCUUGUUGGUAAGGUAAUGGCUUACCAAGGCGACGAUCAGUAUCUGGUUUGAGAGGACGAUCAGACACACUGGAACUGAGACACGGUCCAGACUCCUACGGGAGGCAGCAGUGGGGAAUUUUCCGCAAUGGGCGAAAGCCUGACGGAGCAAUACCGCGUGAGGGAUGACUGCCUAUGGGUUGUAAACCUCUUUUUUCAGGGAGGAAUAAAUGACGUGUACCUGAAGAAUAAGCAUCGGCUAACUCCGUGCCAGCAGCCGCGGUAAUACG
This 431-nucleotide ribosomal RNA is filed under the name uncultured bacterium. RNAcentral describes it as "bacterial SSU rRNA". It matches the Rfam family "Bacterial small subunit ribosomal RNA", at positions 55 to 527 of the family's 1533-position model. The record is from RNAcentral.